CAUUUUUAUUUCAUAAUUACCUUCGUUUCCCGAAAUGAACUGUACGACUUAGUAUUCACGCCAGGCUUAAUGCCUGGCGUUUUUUUU
This 87-nucleotide non-coding RNA is filed under the name Erwinia amylovora ATCC 49946. Its description in RNAcentral is "Hfq-regulated sRNA 12". It matches the Rfam family "Hfq-regulated sRNA 12". The record is from Rfam by way of RNAcentral. Lineage: Bacteria; Pseudomonadati; Pseudomonadota; Gammaproteobacteria; Enterobacterales; Erwiniaceae.